CACUCUGGAGAGUCUCCGCUAUGGAGCGCCGAAGGUGUACAGCGUAUUUUACGCUUAUCUCUCAGGCAAAAGGACAGGGGCGC
RNAcentral lists this non-coding RNA (83 nucleotides) under chicken gut metagenome. RNAcentral's name for it is "Glycine riboswitch". It matches the Rfam family "Glycine riboswitch aptamer", at positions 9 to 86 of the family's 94-position model. From Rfam's summary of the family: This family represents the bacterial glycine riboswitch. The record is from RNAcentral.